Molecule: ribosomal RNA, 441 nt
Filed under: uncultured bacterium
Lineage: Bacteria
Description: partial 16S ribosomal RNA
Rfam family: Bacterial small subunit ribosomal RNA
Source: RNAcentral
CCUACGGGAGGCAGCAGUGGGGGAUAUUGCACAAUGGGGGGAACCCUGAUGCAGCGACGCCGCGUGGGUGAAGGAGUGCUUCGGUAUGUAAAGCCCUAUCGGCAGGGAAGAAGCAAGACGGUACCUGACUAAGAAGCCCCGGCUAACUACGUGCCAGCAGCCGCGGUAAUACGUAGGGGGCGAGCGUUAUCCGGAUUCACUGGGUGUAAAGGGAGCGUAGACGGGCAUGCAAGCCAGGGGUGAAAGCCCGGGGCCCAACCCCGGGACUGCCCUUGGAAAUGCAUGGCUGGAGUGCGGGAGGGGCAGGCGGAAUUCCUGGUGUAGCGGUGAAAUGCGUAGAUAUCAGGAGGAACACCGGCGGCGAAGGCGGCCUGCUGGACCGCGACUGACGUUGAGGCUCGAAAGCGUGGGGAGCGAACAGGAUUAGAUACCCCAGUAGUC